AAUAUGCAUAACAAUGUAUAGCAAGACCACAAACUUUUUCAAAUAAAAUCAGCACAAAAAUGAUUUCUUGAAAACAGAUGCUGAAUUUACACAAACACAUUUAGAAUGAUGAAUUAUACUGCAAAUAAGUUAGAUGAAUGUUUAUUUCUGCACUACUUGGGGCCUUUUCUCAGUUCCAAAAUAAUAUAUGAAGCAACUGAAAACGCUGAUGCUUAAUAUAUUUUUCCCUGCCCAUGUAGUGACAUUCAUUAAUCUGGGUUUAAAUAUACAAAGAUGUGUGUUAGAAACGUCUCCAGAGACAGUCCUGACACUAUUACAUGGUGACUAUUUUUGCAAAACUGCAGCUAUGCCUUAAAUCCGAUGUGAUGAUUCACUGGAACUCAAAACCUACAGCACAUUAUAUGUUUUUAAAGGGCUGGCAUAUAAAAUGAAUUAUUAUUUGGUGUGCAAUCUUUAUAUAUAUAAUAAGAUAUACAUGUAUUUACACACACAUACAUGCACACGCAUGUAUGAGACAUCAUGCAAGAGAGGCUUGGAGAACAUCUUAAAGAAGGGAAAGGCAGUCGCUGUUUACGAUACCAUCACAGAGCUAUAUUUAGUACAGAUUUUGCUAUCAGGCCAGAACCGUACACAAAGCCGUCACCCACACCAUAUUUCUUCCCUAACCUUCCCCACUGCUCUCAUUCGUGCAGAUGCUGUUUCAACUGUGUGGUUCCUAGGGCUGCCCUCAAGAACAGAGGACAUAAAAAUGCCAGAAGCCCCGUUUGCAUGAGAACUCCAACAACUGUGUUUACAGGAGAAGGACUACUGACAUGAAAGAGGCAUAGCAGCGCAGCCGAGAUCUGUCCUUCGCAACCCAUGUUCAGAGCCGUGGCGUGGACCUCGAUGCUGCAACACCUCCCGAGGCCUCGUGCCAGCUGCGGGUUUUCUAGAGGACGUUGGCACAGCACAGAAAGGCUCAGGUAGAAAACACAGUUUCAUUCAAGUGCCACAGGGACCUUGACUCCCCAGAAAUACUGACAGUCCUCAGAGCUGGAAGAAUAGAAAUGAAGACGGAGUGUGGGAUUCUAAGCCUGAAACAAGCAUCCCAGUUACGAGCACUUGGAAAACACAUUUUAAACCUGAAUUCUUUUGAAUUCUGAUGAUCCUUCAGAGUUUGAUGGAUGACUACUGUAAGGCUAUGAUUGUCAAAAUUUAUGUAAUGUCUCUCACUCGUGUCAUGUUAUUUGUAUGUGAAUAUUUAGCAAAUUAAUUGAUGCUGGGAGCUAAAACCCAAACAUGUUAUUUCCCACUGCUGUCUUUGAAGUUAGCUGUUGCUUCGGAAGACUGAUUAUAGAAACAACUGCACACAGUUAAAAUACCUGCCAUUUUCUGGGGCCUUUUUUUCCUUUUAAGAUUUAGACUCCUUAACUAUAAAUACAGUCAUGCUUUCCUUGUAGAUGACAACACUGGACUACUGAGAAACGCACCAAAACAUAUAUUGGGGCCUCUAAAUUCUGCUAUUACGUGAACGUGCUGAAAACUACCAAGAAGUAGCCAAACAAGAACUGUGGAGGUACUACUUAGACUGAACUUGCUUGCUAGCAGUCUUUCAACAGUGUGACGCAGAAGAAAAGGCUGUUUUGUGGUCAUAUAGCAUGGCAGUCUUGUAGGGAACCCUUGUGUUGCAACAAAGGAAAUGGUAAAGUUGUUUGUCUGUUGUUUUGUUUUGUUUUUUUCCAAAGAAGAGAAGUGAAAAAAAUUACGAGAAAAAGAUACAAGGGAGGCCUAACACACAGGAAAAGUAUGAAAAACGCAAACACAGUACUGACAGACCCUAAAGAUGCCGACCACCCUUUCUCAACUGCAGACACCAUUUAACUGAUCAACCAAACUCAUGCAUCAGUUCUGAUGUUGAGACCAGAGAAAAACAAAGCAACAUCACUUUGAUAAUGCUGAAACUUAGGCUUCAAAAAUUUGGGUAAGAGCCUGCCUACCUUGGCUUUUGUGCUAGAGAAGCUAGCAAGGCGGCCUCCUGGUAUUUCACGUGUUGACACAGAUUCAGCAACAGAUCACACUCUGGCAGGUGAAGAAUUUUUGCUUCCACCUGCCCAUCCCAUCCCACCCCAUCCGUCUGCUGCAGAGCACCAGGAAUGGCUCCAUAGCUUCCAAAUCACUUCCUCAGCUGCCGUUACUUACAGAGCACGCUGACAUUAGCUGACUUUGAUACCAGUUCACACAAAUUUGAUGCUAGAAGAGUUCAACAUCAGAUGUGGGGGCUACCAUUGCAACAAGGACAACAAAGAGAUGGAGCAAGUAUCCAAGAAAGGUAUAUCGCCUCCCUAAGCUUGGAGCGCUGAAAUAAUAUAGAUAAAUAACAGCAAGCCAAGUUAUGUACGAACCCAUAAUUUAAUAGGUAAAAAAAUGCCUUCAGAGGGGAAAACAUUCUAUUGCUUUGAUGACCUCCAGCUCUACGAGUAACAGCAAUGGAUGUGGUAAGCAUGUACGGAAUCUUUUAAGAUACGCACAAAAAGUGUAUAUCUUCUAAAAAUAAAUGUACGUACUUAACACUGAUGUAUUAACUGUUUACAAGAACUGCUCCUCACAUCAUCACUUGUCUGUGAAACAGGGCUGACUUUCAAGAAGCUACAUAGUACACACGAUGUUCAUGACUCACGCUAUGACUUCAGAAAGUGGCCUGAGCAAGCUGGAAGUUCACCAGGGGCAAAGAAGGGUUGGUGGCUCUCCUCUCCCCGCAGCCCCCUCGGGCCAUGGGCUCCUGAUGCUUACCUUGAGUCAGCUCAGGUACUCUGCUGAUCACCUGCUAAAUUAACACUCAGAACAGCAGAAUACGAACUCGGCACGCAACUCUACGUGUGGGUGGUUCUGCUCGGCUGGCAGGCUGAGCCGGCUGCCCUGCAGUCAGAAUUGGUGCAGCUGGGAGCGGGGACGGGAAGGAAGAUCACAGGGCAGCGGGGGCAAGGGAAGAGGGCAAAGGCAGAGCGAGACCUCCCCGUUCAGCAAGCUGCUAGCUCAGGGCUGCUACAAUCCGAAACUUCCCCGUCAGAGUCAUGUAAACGAAAUACUAACAGAGAUGAUUCAAAUGACUGAGUAUUAAUAGCCUUUCAUAAUGUAAGUAACUAUUUAAAGUAACUGAAUAAAAAUUUCCAAAUGACAGAUUUCUAGAAGCUGCUCACUGCUGGCUAUUGCCACAGGAACCAAACCGGCAGAAGUCGAACCUGAAGACGUACCUAUUACGUGUUCCUACACGUAACGUAUGUAAAUACAGCAGUGUUCCUACCACAACAGUUCUACAGACUAACAAAAUGAUGUUAAAAUGAUCAGGUUUUUAAAUUCUAAACCAUGUGUAUGUUCCAGCAUGCAAAAACAUCAUGAGCAAGAUAAGCAUCUUGCUAAAUAAGCCACUACAGGGGCUGAAAUACAAAAAAAUUCUCAGUGCCUUAAACAAGUACUUACAAGCAGAAGAAUUAAUACUACUCCUUGAAAUGAAAAACAAAAGAUAAGAAUCAGGUACUACAUGUUUUUUUCAUUUUGAGGAAGUGAAUUUUCAUAAAGGGAAAGGGGUUAAGUACUGCAGUGUUUUAGUCUUUGUGAAUCCACCCACAUAAAAAUUAGACCUCCCACAUACACAUUCAUAUACUCCAAAAGCUUUGAUCAUGCCAGAUGUAAAUAUUUCUUCUAGUAGCCUAUUACGCGUCCUCCAACUAUACAAUUGUUCUCUGUUAAAGCCUCGGUGAUAUUAUGGGGAACUGAAAGGAUGUAUUAGGAGUAUAUGCACAGAUUUUAAGGACAACCAUGAUAAAAUACAGGCAAAAUAGAAAAGCAGAACAUAUUCCUUGCCUAACAAAGCAUUCUGUAAUUGGUUUUAUACUGGAAAUUGUUAACUAAAGUUAAUUUUAGAUCAAAAAGUAAUGCAAUUUGUGCCAAUGUAUGCUGCGCUCAGAACAAACUUUAGUGAAGUAAAACUGCAAGGAAGCUGAGUGUAACAGUCCUGAGAGAAAGCCUCACAGAGAACAGUGUGCCAACAGCAAGGAUGUUUUCAAGGAAAACAUAGAGGGUUAAAUUCUCCAACUGAAAUUACAGAAGGUAAUUACAGACCAGGCGUACUCUAA
Molecule: long non-coding RNA, 4112 nt
Organism: Grus americana (Whooping crane)
Lineage: Eukaryota; Metazoa; Chordata; Aves; Gruiformes; Gruidae
Exons: 3
Source: RefSeq, a predicted model, not a curated record